RNAcentral lists this ribosomal RNA (450 nucleotides) under uncultured bacterium. RNAcentral describes it as "bacterial SSU rRNA". It matches the Rfam family "Bacterial small subunit ribosomal RNA", at positions 29 to 507 of the family's 1533-position model. The record is from RNAcentral.
AACGAACGCUGGCGGCAUGCCUAACACAUGCAAGUCGAACGAAGGCUUCGGCCAUAGUGGCGCACGGGUGCGUAACGCGUGGGAAUCUGCCCUUGGGUUCGGAAUAACUCAGAGAAAUUUGAGCUAAUACCGGAUGAUGACGUAAGUCCAAAGAUUUAUCGCCCAAGGAUGAGCCCGCGUAAGAUUAGCUAGUUGGUGGGGUAAAGCCUACCAAGGCGACGAUCUUUAGCUGGUCUGAGAGGAUGAUCAGCCACACUGGGACUGAGACACGGCCCAGACUCCUACGGGAGGCAGCAGUAGGGAAUAUUGGACAAUGGGGGGAACCCUGAUCCAGCCAUGCCGCGUGAGGGAAGAAGGUCCUCCGGAUUGUAAACCUCUUUUGGCAGGAAACAAACCUGCGCUAUACGCGCAGCUGAGGGUACCUGCAGAUAAGCACCGGCUAACUCCGUG